Molecule: long non-coding RNA, 246 nt
Filed under: Trifolium pratense (red clover)
Lineage: Eukaryota; Viridiplantae; Streptophyta; Magnoliopsida; Fabales; Fabaceae
Description: long non-coding RNA (TPRA_LNC005443)
Source: RNAcentral
UUAGCUGCAACUUUUGCCUAUUGUCAGGAGUGUUAACUUACUCCAAUGUCAUCCAACAUAAGAACCAAUUCCAAACAAACUAAACAAUAACUAAAUUCAAAACUAAUUAAAUUGAGUCAUCAAAAGAUCAUUUCCUCAAACUAAAAUGCGGUGUUAACAAAAAUUGACACUAUUACAAGUGUCAAAAUAAACAGAUAAGAAACUAGUAGUUUGGACAAAAGAUAUAGCCGUUAGUUUAAGCUUAAU